RNAcentral lists this long non-coding RNA (1218 nucleotides) under Helianthus annuus (common sunflower). RNAcentral's name for it is "hypothetical non coding rna". Lineage: Eukaryota; Viridiplantae; Streptophyta; Magnoliopsida; Asterales; Asteraceae. The record is from RNAcentral.
GCACUCGUAUUAAUUAAUACUAAUGGAAUCGACAUCAGUUGGUCGCCAUACAUCAUUACAUUAAUACUUAUGAUUCUGAUGCCUUGCGGCCAACGUUGUGUGGAACUAUAUUAGUAAUUGGUGCCGUGUACCGCAAAUUUUCGCGUUCUCUUUUCAAGAUCUGUUUAUGACAACCGGCCCUUGGAGUGCCCCGGGACGUUUGUUCAGCUAUAUAGUGCACGUGUGGUGAUAUACAGAAAAUCUGCUUAAUAUUACGCGACAACGGACUGAAACCGCACGAAAUACAGACAAACACACACACCUGAUGCUCUCCCUUUCCGGCGACACCCCACCGGCGGAGCCACGACGGUGCCGACGCCAGCGGCGGAGCUCUGGCGAUCCCCAUUUUGGCGCGUGACAGCGCGUGUACCCCUCUUUUCCUCCGAUCUACCAUCCAAUCCCUUUUCUGGUGCUGGUUCGCGGAUUCGAGCGGCGGUGGCGGCCACCUUCUUCUCCGGUGGUCUCUUCUGACGAGCACAGCCCCCCUUUUUACGAUUCGGAAAAAAUCACCACCACCGUCGUCCGGUGGUGGUGCGGCGGCUACACAUGGAGAUACCGAGAGAGAGAGAGAAAGAACCGGCGGUCGGAGUCUCGGACCACCGGUCGGUUCAAUUAUCCGACGGUCUUUGUUUCUAACCGACGGUUUUCCGAUGAUGAUGCGAUGAUGAAGAUGAGACGUUGAAGAUAAUCAGAGAAACCGAUCUUUCCGGUGAAGUUCGCCGGCGACGGCAGUGGAGUGUUCUCCGCUGAAAUUUGACGCUUGUGUUUGGUUCCAGGUCUCGACUCAGUUUCAAGCAGGUGGUGUGCGUUCGAGUUCAAGUGACUUGGUUCAGGUUUAGUUUAAAAUGGUUCGUCUCGGUUUGGGUUCUCGGUACAAGACAGUCAACGGGUUUAGGUUCAGCUCGGUUCUCAGGUUCGGGUCAGCUGGUCAACGGUCAGAAAUUUCGUGGUUCGGGUUGACUCGGUCAAACUCAGGUCAACAGUGAGUUGACUCGGUCAACUCAGUUAGGCGGUACGAUGAUUCGACAUGAAGAUUUGGUAAAGAUUAACGACGUGUUUAAUAUUUACGUUAUAUUUAGUUUUAAUACUUACCUGUGAAACGAGCUCGAAACGAAUUAACUAUUAGUUCAUAUCUUAAAUUAUUCGUCAAGAUUUAUAUAAAUAUUGAUUACAUUGUUU